GACGAACUGUCCAAACGUUGUUCGGAAUCACUGGGCUUAAAGGGCGCGUAGGCGGUCUGGUAAGUCAGGGGUGAAAUCCCACAGCUUAACUGUGGAAGUGCCUUUGAUACUGCCAGUCUGGAGGGAGAUAGGGGUGUGCGGAACUUCCAGUGGAGCGGUGAAAUGCGUUGAUAUUGGAAGGAACGCCGGAGGCGAAAGCGGCGCACUGGAUCUCUUCUGACGCUGAGGCGCGAAAGCUAGGGGAGCAAAC
RNAcentral lists this ribosomal RNA (250 nucleotides) under uncultured bacterium. RNAcentral's name for it is "partial 16S ribosomal RNA". It matches the Rfam family "Bacterial small subunit ribosomal RNA", at positions 524 to 773 of the family's 1533-position model. The record is from RNAcentral.